ACGGAAAACCCUGAAGUUACCUCACUAACCGCCAAAUCCUGCUUCCUAGUACAGACCUCACAUCCUGAAGAUUUGCAUCCACAUUUGAAUCUGGUUUUGAAAUCAGAAGAAAUGAGAAGUCGCAGCUGUUCCUCUGAGCCUCGCCCACACCACCGGAAACACCACGAGCUGUCAAAUUAAAACACCAAACAAUACAGGUUCCAGUCAGGGAUUUCAAAGUAAAAGCAUGACGAGUGAG
This is a long non-coding RNA of Sebastes umbrosus (honeycomb rockfish), 238 nucleotides long. RefSeq lists it as uncharacterized. The transcript is spliced from 2 exons. The record is from RefSeq and is a predicted model, not a curated record. NCBI's taxonomy places the organism in Eukaryota, Metazoa, Chordata, Actinopteri, Perciformes, Sebastidae.